AUGCUUCAGCAGCACGUAUACUGAAAUUGGAGCGAUACAGAGAAGCUUAGCAUGGCCUCUGUGCAAGGAUGACACAAAUUCAUGAAGCAUUCCAUAUAAUU
RNAcentral lists this small nuclear RNA (101 nucleotides) under Octodon degus (degu). The record is from RNAcentral. Lineage: Eukaryota; Metazoa; Chordata; Mammalia; Rodentia; Octodontidae.